CUCCCUACGGGGGGCAGCAGUGGGGAAUAUUGGGCAAUGGGCGCAAGCCUGAACGAGCAAUGCCGCGUGAACGAGGAAGGUCUUCGGAUCGUAAAGUUCUGUUGAAGGGGAAAAAGAGCGGAGAGAGGAAAUGGUCUCCGAUUGAUAUUACCCUUCGAGGAAGUCACGGCUAACUACGUGCCAGCAGCCGCGGUAAUACGUAGGUGGCGAGCGUUAUCCGGAAUGAUUGGGCAUAAAGGGUGCGUAGGCGGCCUGCUACGUCUGGAGUGAAAGGUACCGGCUCAACCGGUACAGGCUCUGG
RNAcentral lists this ribosomal RNA (301 nucleotides) under uncultured bacterium. RNAcentral describes it as "bacterial SSU rRNA". It matches the Rfam family "Bacterial small subunit ribosomal RNA", at positions 335 to 629 of the family's 1533-position model. The record is from RNAcentral.